UACACGGUGGAUGCCCUGGCAGUCAGAGGCGAUGAAGGGCGUGCUAAUCUGCGAUAAGCGCCGGUAAGGUGAUAUGAACCGUUAUAACCGGCGAUACCCGAAUGGGGAAACCCAGUGUGAUUCGUCACACUAUCAUUAACUGAAUCCAUAGGUUAAUGAGGCGAACCGGGGGAACUGAAACAUCUAAGUACCCCGAGGAAAAGAAAUCAACCGAGAUUCCCCCAGUAGCGGCGAGCGAACGGGGAGGAGCCCAGAGCCUGAAUCAGCAUGUGUGUUAGUGGAAGCGUCUGGAAAGGCGCGCGAUACAGGGUGACAGCCCCGUACACAAAAGCGCAUGUGCUGUGAGCUCGAUGAGUAGGGCGGGACACGUGGUAUCCUGUCUGAAUAUGGGGGGACCAUCCUCCAAGGCUAAAUACUCCUGACUGACCGAUAGUGAACCAGUACCGUGAGGGAAAGGCGAAAAGAACCCCGGCGAGGGGAGUGAAAAAGAACCUGAAACCGUGUACGUACAAGCAGUGGGAGCACAGGUUUACCUGUGUGACUGCGUACCUUUUGUAUAAUGGGUCAGCGACUUAUAUUCUGUAGCAAGGUUAACCGAAUAGGGGAGC
RNAcentral lists this ribosomal RNA (608 nucleotides) under Salmonella enterica. Its description in RNAcentral is "partial 23S ribosomal RNA". It matches the Rfam family "Bacterial large subunit ribosomal RNA", at positions 18 to 666 of the family's 2925-position model. Lineage: Bacteria; Pseudomonadati; Pseudomonadota; Gammaproteobacteria; Enterobacterales; Enterobacteriaceae. The record is from RNAcentral.